UUGCUGCUUCGUUGUCCUUCACGGACCCUC
Molecule: small RNA, 30 nt
Filed under: Bombyx mori (domestic silkworm)
Lineage: Eukaryota; Metazoa; Arthropoda; Insecta; Lepidoptera; Bombycidae
Description: piRNA piR-bmo-1352968
Source: RNAcentral